UUGACUCAUUGUCAAGAUUCAAGAAUUGUGGGUCAUUGCUUCACCCUAUUUCAAUGGGACAUUCCUAUAUAUCAGCAUCUUCACAAUCGAAACCUUUUUCUGAAAAUCAGCAAUUUCUAUGGCUUAACUUGGAGAGUUCAAUUUUCUGCGUGAUGCAUGCUGCUCUAAACUAAUAUUUUCUAUUCUAAGACUUUUGCUUCAAAUGAAUUUACCCUCACUUUCAGUUUCAUUAUAAGUAUUCUUUUUUCCUCUUUUCUUUUUUGCUAUUUUCUCAAUGAUUUUCUCUCGUUUCUUUCUUUAGUUUUCCAUUAUUGCAAAAUUAUGCCUCAGCAAGAGCUUGGUUUCAGACUUGUGUUUUUCUGCUUCUAAUUGUUGUUGUCGUCGUCUCAGCUACAUUGGUUCUGUUUCUUGUUUUUGAUCAAAAUCGGAGUUGAUUUCAUUCACGAGUUUUAUAAACCUAUCCAUGCAUUGUUGUGAAUGGAUCUGUUUCAAUUUUUGAGUUCGUCUUGAUUCAGAUCACAGAAAUUGUUGAUUUCAUGGAAUCAUGUGCUGUGGUUCCACGAUUUUUGUAUAUAUUAUAGUGUGAAAAGAAAGAUCUGCAAUGGAAGGCAUUGAUGUCUCAGCAUAUGAGCAUAGUCCUGUGCACAAGGCAAUAGUGUUGAGGGAUCAUAUUGCACUUGAUGAGUUACUUGGGCGUCUCCCAAAACUAAGUAACCCCUUUGAGAUUAAAACUGAGGCUGCUUCAAAAGCGGAGGAUGAGAAGGCUUCAGUGAUCUCUGCUAUUGUGGAUAGAAGGGAUGUACCAAACGGUGACACCCCUAUUCACCUGGCUGUGAAACAUGGUGAUUUUAUUGGAACUGAGAUGCUCAUGGAUGCUGGGGCAAAUGGUAGGUUGAAGAAUAAGGAAGGGUGGACUGCUCUCAGAGAAGCUAUCAUUCACAAACAAGAUAAAAUAGCAAUGGUUAUGAUCAGGUACUAUUGGAAUGACUAUGAGAGAAAGUAUUUUAGAAGGUUGCCUAGGUAUAUAGGGACUAUGAGAAGGAUGAAGGACUUCUACAUGGAGAUUACAUUCCAUUUUGAGAGUUCUGUGAUACCUUUCAUCUCAAGGAUUGCACCUUCAGACACUUACAAGAUUUGGAAAAAAGGUGGCAAUUUGAGGGCAGACAUGACUUUGGCUGGCUUUGAUGGUUUGAAAAUCAAGAGGUCAAAUCAGAGCAUUCUUUUUCUUGGUGAUGGUGCUAAAGAUGAUGAUAGGAAAUUCCCUGGAUCCUUGUUCAAAGUCUCACACAAAGAGAAGGAAGUACUUGUGAUUUCACCCACCAUAGCUUCUCCUACUGAGAGAGAGGUUAAGAAGACAUUGAAUCAGAAGUACAGGACUGACUCAGUAAGGGUUGGGAUCGAUGUGAGUGAGGCAGUUCUUGUUCCCCAGGUAACAUGGAGGAAAAAGGAGAGGAAAGAAAUGGUGGGGCCAUGGAAAGCCAAGGUUUAUGACAUGCAAAAUGUUGUUCUCAGUGUGAAAUCCAAAAGGAUCCCUGGAGCUCCACCACCUGAGGCCAGACAAAGGAAGAAGAAGGAGGGUGAAAAAAUUGAUGACAUUUUGACAGAUGAUGAAAAGAAGCAAUUGGAAGCUGCAAUUAAUUCAACAGAUGAAAAUGGUCCAUGUGAAAAAAGUAACCGUGUGAAGAAAGAAAAGAAGGAAAAGAAAGAAAAGAAAGAAAAGAAAGGGAAGUCUGGUGGACAAAAAGACCACGAGGACAAAACCACAAAGGCAAACUCUGAGAACUUUACUUCCAAAAAUGGUGAAAACCAGUACACAAGAGGGAUGAUACCUGCUCUUUGGCUUUCCCAAAACUUUCCACUAACAAUUGAUGAAUUGCUACCUAUGCUUGACAUUCUUGCUGAGAGAAUUAAAGCAGUUCGUCGGUUAAGAGAACUCCUUACAACAAAACUUCCAAAGGAGACCUUUCCAGUCAGGGUAGCCAUCCCUGUGGUGUCCACUGUUAGAGUGUUGGUGACUUUCACAAAAUUUGAAGAACUACAACAAGAUAAUGGAGAUGAAUUUGAAUCAGCCCCAUCAAGUCCUACUGGUGACCAAAUGAACCUAGAAGAGGAAGAAAAUUCCUCAGCGGCAGCACCAUCAUCAUCAUCAUCAUCAUCAUCAUGGUUUCAGUGGAUAAAGACCCCUUCAAGAUCUAGUUCAUCUAAUUUGGAAUCUAGUAGUAGGGUAUUUGAUGAGCAGGAUCUGUUUGCUAUUCCCUCAGAUUAUACAUGGCUUACUCAAAAAGAAAAGGCAAAACAGAAAAAAGUAGGAUAGGGUAAAAUGGAUGGAAGUAACAAAAGUUAUAAACAUUUCAAAUAGGAUCUUCACAUGGUUGAACAAAAAGUAUAGGAAAACUUUUUGAUAAGGUGAUUUCAAAAGAACAAGCAAUAGCUAGAUUCAUUACACAUGUGAUUGACAAAGACCAUCAUUUGUUAGAACUCGUCUUAUUUUUAUGACAUCCUUUGUAGUUUUUGUAUGUUAUUUACUUAUGAUUAUCAAAUAGAAAUAGUGUCAAAGAUCUAAGGACAAUUGUGAUAGUAGUUUAAAACUUUGAUUUUGUAGAAUCCACACUUAAACAACACAACAAAAUAAAAGUAACACACGAUUUUAAAGGUUAAUUUAUUGUAAUCUAGGAUGUGUUUGGAACUUGGGAGGCUUGAAUUGGGCAUUGAAGUAGCUUAGUCAAAAGAUGGAGUUAUAAUUUCGCAUAAGAAGUUGAUAUCUUACAAGAAACAGGUAUGAUUGACUGUAGACCAGUAGACAAUCAUAUGAACUCAAAUAAGAAAUUAACGACCGAAGAAGUUGAAUUAUUUUCCGACCCAAAAAGAUAUAGGAGACUGGUUAGAAAACUGAUUUAUCUUACUAUUACAAGAUUUGAUCUAUCUUUUGCAGCUAGUGUGGUUAGUCACUUUAUGCAGACUCCUCAAAAUAGCUCGGGCUAGCUUUGUUAUAUGAAGAUAGAGAAAGCAUUUAGGUCUCUGGGUAUUGUGAUGCAGAUUGAGCAAGUUCUCCUAUUGAUAGACAAUCUACUACUAGAUAUUGUGUUUUCCUUGGAUGAAACAUUAUUUCCUGGAAGAGUAAGAAACAGAAUGUAGUGGCCCGAUCGACGGCUGAAGCUGAAUAUAGGGCAAUAGCAUCACUAACAUGUGAACUUAUAUGGGUGAAGAAAUUCCUUCAAGAGAUUAACUUUUGUGACAUCCAAAUUAUGAAGGUGUAUUGCAAUAAUCAAGCUGCUUUCCACAUUGCAUCAAAUCUAGUGUUUCACGAGAGCACUAAACAUAUAAAAAUUGAUUGCCAUUUUUUUUGGGAAAAUUGUUGACAAAAGAAAUAUGUACUGAGUUUGUUAGAUCAAAUGACUAAUUUGCAGAUGUGUUGACUAAGCAAAUGAGGAGGAGGUUCAACAAGAAGUUGCUGCAAUGUCUAAAACAGAUAUUUUUCGGCCGAUGUCACUCAAGCAGUUCUUUAGCCUAGGCAAGAGAAAACAGAGAUGGUAGUCCCUUGGAAACCUAAGAUAAGGUGUAUGAUGUGCACAAUGUAGUUGUGAGCAUAAAGUCUAGAGGAGUCCCGGGAGCUAUGACAGAUGGUGAGCUCUUCUCAUCUUGCAAUGAAAAUGAAACUGAGAGUGAAGAGUUCAAUGAUAUAUUGACUGAGGAGGAAAGAAGGCAAUUGGAAGAUGCGCUUGGCUGGAUUCGGCGGACUUGACCAAUGAGAGUGACUGAAGAACUCCUGCCAUUGCUGGACGUUGUUGCAAACAAAGUCAAAGCAAUUGGCCAAUUAAGAGAACUCCUUACAACUAAACUUCCAAUGGGAAUCUUCCCUGUUAAGGUUGUCAUACCUGUGGUUCUUACUAUGAGAGUAUUGGUUACCUUCACAAAAUUUGAAGAACUACAGCCGGUACAAGAAUUCGACGCCGCCGGCGAGUCCAUCUGCAACCGGCCAAGAGAACCCUGCUGUGCCACAUUUCUCGGCAUCAUCUUGGUUCCAAUGGAUAAAGGCUUCCUAUCGCUCUAGCACAUCUGCUCCAGGAUCCAGCAGUAGGAUAGAAAAUAUUCAAGACCCAUUUGCAAUUCCAUCUGAUAAUACUUGGAUCAGUGCUGAAGCAAAGAAAAAGAAGAUGCAAGAGAAGAACAAAUCAAAGAAAGGAAAAAAGUCAUAGCUAAUUAUGCCAGUGUGAGUGACACUUCAUGAGCAAGCUCCAAAUUUGGAAGUGCUUUUGGGGUUUUAGAGAACUUUGGCCAUUUUCUGGAGAUUGAAUUUGAAGUUAUGGAUUAUCUAUUUCAAGAAUAUGGCAUAAGGAAAAGAAACAUUGUGAUUCAUGCAAUGAUAGCUGCAAAGAAUUUGUUGAUUGUGUUUCAGGACAUAUGGAAAACCAUUAUUAUUUCAGGAUAGUUGCAAUCACAGUGAUCCAACUUUUCAUAUUCAUGAUUGCAGUUUAAAUUCACCUUUGUUUGGUUAUAAUAAUUCUUUUCCCUGAUUUCAUUCAUGUAAAUAAACUCAACAAUUUGCUUAUUCACUUUGAGCUGUAUCAUUUACGUUUUAUUCUAUUUCACCAUUGUUAUUAUUAA
Molecule: unclassified non-coding RNA, 4605 nt
Organism: Vigna unguiculata (cowpea)
Lineage: Eukaryota; Viridiplantae; Streptophyta; Magnoliopsida; Fabales; Fabaceae
Source: RefSeq, a predicted model, not a curated record